UAGGUUCAUGAUGAAUGAAAAUUUGACAGAUCACAAUGUUGACUACCAAAUUACGAGCUUUUUAAUACUGACUUCUAA
Daphnia pulex (common water flea) is the source of this 78-nucleotide non-coding RNA. The record is from Rfam. NCBI's taxonomy places the organism in Eukaryota, Metazoa, Arthropoda, Branchiopoda, Diplostraca, Daphniidae.